CUGUUCCUCACGUCCCGCGGUGGAAGGGGAUAGAGGCGCGAAAAUUGUAGAGAAAGCGCGGUAAAAUCCUACCUGAUUACCCCUAUUUAGCAGCGGCGCCAUUCUUCCUCUAAACAAAUCUUCGACCCACUAAUUUCUCCUCCUUCUGCAGAGAUGGCGGCACACACGAACAGGAGCUAAGGUCGCAGAUUUGUCUCAGCACUUCGUUUCCCCUUUUCUAUCAGGAGCAAGAGAAACCAAAAGGCUGCAGAUCGCAAGCAAAGAACAAGAGGUACGGCUGAACUUAUUCUUUUGUAACUGCAGAAAUAUGUUCAGAUUUAUCUGUCUGGCUCUCUCUUUGUCCUGCUUAGCAUCUGAAUUUUAUCAGUAAUACACUAGAAAAUGAGUGUAAAUAGUUUGUGGAUAAAUUCUAAUACAAACGGAUAUGUUAGGCGAAAUUAACACUAUUGCUUGCGGCUGCUUGUUGUCGUGGUUGCGCACCUGAUUGGUACUACAUAGGUUCAGGACAAGGUUAAGCUUAUGCGUCUGCUUCCUUGCUUCCUGGUGCGCUAUGUUUGAAAUAAUGUGAAAUUCCUACAACCUGCACUUUGAAAGAUCUGCAUCUUUAUUAUCUAUAAAACUUUUUAUAUUUCAGUCUGAAGAGUACAUGUGAACUGAAAAAAGAGUAGUUUAAUUCAUGUUAAUGCUGCACCUUAUGGUCUUGUACAUCAGUAUAGUAUAGCAUUAUGUAAUAAGCAUCCAUUUGAUUCAUGUAUUCGAUUGCCUUAUAUAAAUACAAAAUGGAGGGGGAUUUGAUCCAUAUCAAAAUGCAUCAUGGGGGUACAUUUUCAAUGGAAGGACCACUUACUUAUGAUGGUGGCGAAGUGUCUAUUUUUCAAGACUGUGACAGUGAGCGUACAUCGUAUUUUCGUCUAGUUCGCAUGGCUAAAGACGUAGG
Triticum aestivum (bread wheat) is the source of this 937-nucleotide long non-coding RNA. RefSeq lists it as uncharacterized. The record is from RefSeq and is a predicted model, not a curated record. The transcript is spliced from 3 exons. Lineage: Eukaryota; Viridiplantae; Streptophyta; Magnoliopsida; Poales; Poaceae.